Molecule: non-coding RNA, 496 nt
Organism: Kogia breviceps (pygmy sperm whale)
Lineage: Eukaryota; Metazoa; Chordata; Mammalia; Artiodactyla; Physeteridae
Source: RefSeq, a predicted model, not a curated record
UGAGCGAUAGUCGCAGCUCUCUUGCGGCUCCUCGCUGGCGGCCUUCGACUUCCUGAUCUUGCUCUAGGGUUUUGCAUUAGCUUGCGGACCUUGAGAGGAGUUAAAAGCAGUGAGACGUCAGGGACCGAGACUGCGGAUACCUGAGGGACCUUUGUCUGAGGGACAGGCUCUUACCCUGCAGGAGUCUUAUGGCCUCUAGCCUGCUCUUAAGCAGUUCUUUUUACCCCUGUUAUGCCCCCCUCCCGACUCUCUUUACUCAGUAUCUCUCUGGCCUUAAUGAAACGAAAUACGGCAAGAUAGAUGAGAAAGCUGAGGUCAGAAAGAUAAACUGAGAAGCCCGUUCUGGAAGAGAAGUGCAAGUAUCUGAUGUCCAGAAACAAGGAAGCUGUAGCCUCAGAAGCUUCCCAGCCACCUCCGCCCCACCACCACUGCUGUCAUUCAGAUUCUUCUUCCCCCACCCUUGCCUGAGGGAGGUGGGGGAGGAAGGAAGGACGAA